AUCUUUAUAGUUUAUUAUUAAAAUAUUACACUGAAAAUGUAAAGAAAUCUUAAUUAAAGAUA
Molecule: transfer RNA, 62 nt
Filed under: Haemaphysalis longicornis (longhorned tick)
Lineage: Eukaryota; Metazoa; Arthropoda; Arachnida; Ixodida; Ixodidae
Source: Rfam by way of RNAcentral